AGAACUAAUAUUCCGAUAGGUGGAAUGAGGGAGUAACGCUCCGAAACGCCUACCUUACAAACUGCGAUAUGCUUCAGUCUUAUGUAACAAAGAUUGUAGUAUAACGCUCGCCAAAGUCGGCGGAAAUACGCCCAAACAGGUAAAGCUGUGGAAAGUGCGCCAGAGGUGGUGUAUGUGUAUGAUACGCCGGAGGUCUAUAAA
This 201-nucleotide non-coding RNA is filed under the name bovine gut metagenome. The record is from RNAcentral.